This 329-nucleotide unclassified non-coding RNA is filed under the name soil metagenome. RNAcentral's name for it is "partial contains 5.8S ribosomal RNA, internal transcribed spacer 2, and large subunit ribosomal RNA". The stretch from base 1 to 120 matches the Rfam family "5.8S ribosomal RNA", at positions 35 to 154 of the family's 154-position model. The record is from RNAcentral.
GAUGAAGAACGUAGUGAAAUGCGAUACGUAAUGUGAAUUGCAGAAUUCAGUGAAUCAUCGAAUCUUUGAACGCACAUUGCGCCCCCUGGUAUUCCGGGGGGCAUGCCUGUCCGAGCGUCAUUACAACCCUCAAGCUCAGCUUGGUGUUGGGCCCCGCCGCCCCGGCGGGCCCUAAAGUCAGUGGCGGUGCCGUCCGGCUCCGAGCGUAGUAAUUCUUCUCGCUCUGGAGGUCCGGUCGUGUGCUCGCCAGCAACCCCCAAUUUUUUUCAGGUUGACCUCGGAUCAGGUAGGGAUACCCGCUGAACUUAAGCAUAUCAAUAAGCGGAGGA